This is a long non-coding RNA of Syngnathus acus (greater pipefish), 4076 nucleotides long. RefSeq lists it as uncharacterized. NCBI's taxonomy places the organism in Eukaryota, Metazoa, Chordata, Actinopteri, Syngnathiformes, Syngnathidae. The transcript has 2 exons. The record is from RefSeq and is a predicted model, not a curated record.
AGGAAAAGAUUGAAGAUCGUUGAGGCCAGUACACACCCCUGCUUUACCCCUACUUUCACAGUGAAAGAGGGGGACUGUUCACUGCCUACAAGUACACAGGCCUGCAUACCAUUGUGAAACUGUUUAAGGAUGUUGAGAAACUUGGGGGGGGGGACACCAAACUUCCUGAGGAUGCUCCAGAGCAGAUCACGGUCAACUGUGUCAAAGGCCUUGGUGAGGUCAAUAAAGGCGAUGUAGAGGUCCUUGCUUUUGUUCCCUGCAUUUCUCCUGGAUUUGACGGGCAGCGAAGAUCAUGUCCAGUGUACUUCGGUUCUUUCUGAAGCCAGACUGUGUCUCUGGGAGGAUGCCCUCUGAACUUUCGCAAGUACCUUGCCGGCCACUGAGAGAAGGGAGAUGCCACGACUAUUUCCACAAGAUGAUUUAUCUCCUUUCUUCUUGUAGAUGGUGACGAUGUUGCUGUCUUUCCAUUCUUGAGGCAGGGCCUCCCUGUGCCAGAUGGUUAGUAUGAAGUGAAACAACUUCCGCUUCAGAAGAUAGCCUCCCUUCUUUAGAAUAUCAGCCGGAAUUACGUCAGGGCCAGGGCUCUUGUUGUUUUUGAGGCUCUUGAUUGCAGUAAGGACCUCGCUGAACAUGGGAGGGUCAUCAAGGAAGGGAGAAGGCAGGAGAUCUGGGAGUGCAUUGAGCACUAAUGGAUCAGAGGGGUUCAUUUUAUUGAGCAGUGAGUCGAAGUACUCAGCCCAACACUCAAGAAUUAGUUGUUUAUCAUUGAAUAACACGUGUCUGUCUGCGGAUCUUACUGGAGAUGCUUCGCUUUUGUGGGCCAUAGAUGGAUUUUGCAGCAGCAUAGAAUGCGUAGGUGUUAUUAGCAUCUGCAUAUCCCUGGAUCUCCUGGGCUUUUUUGAGCCACCACUCAUUUUCCAUGAGCCGCAGUUGUUUCUGAGUGAUAAAGAGUGAGGGUUGGAGAGCAGGGCAGCAUGGGCUUUAUGCUUGGCGUCCAGCAGCUCCUGUAUUUCUACCGAGCUGUUGUCGAACCAGUCUUGAUGGUGCUUCUGAGUAAAGCCGAUGGUUUCGGAGGCAGCUUGGUGUAAUGUUGACCUCAGUUUUGCCCACUCACUGUCCAUGUCACAGGUGGUGCUGUAGUCCUCCAAGGUGGAAAGCCCUGUUGCCAGCUUGCUGCGGUAGUGAGAUGUGCACUCUGGAGAAUCUAGGGCCCUGCAGUUCAGUCGCUUUCUUGGCUGCUGUUUCCUGUGCGGGGGGGCGGAUUUUCAUCCUCAGCUUGGAUCUAAUCAGCCGGUGGUCGGUCCAGGAUUCAGCCCCACGCAGGGCCCUGGUUAUGCAGACGUCUUGUCGAUCUUGUUGCCGUGUCAUCAUAUAGUCCAGCAGGUGCCAAUGUUUGGACCGUGUUAGUGAUGAGAAGUUGGUGCUCAGAGCACAGAGAGAGGAGUCGAAUGCUGCUGUUUAUUUUCCCAGAUCCAUUAAGCCCGAUUAUUUUAGUCCAGAGCUGGGCAUCUGUGCCAACUCGGGCAUUGAAGUCACCCAUGAGGACAAGCUUAUCGGACUUAGGCACUCUGGGUAGGGCAGCCGCAAGAGACUGGUAGAAGGCAUCUUUGAUGGUACUAUCAGCAUCCAGGGUAGGGGCAUACGCACUGAGUAGCGUAGCAAACCGGUCUUUCACCAGGGGGAUACGCCAGGUCAUGAGCCGCUCACUGAUGCCUUGGGGGGACUCUGGGAUGUUAUUAAGUAGUUUGCUUUUUACAGCAAAACCAACUCCAUGGAGCCUACGUUCGCCUUCCGGGAGACCCUUCCAAUAGAAGGUAUAGCCUUCACUGACUUCUGUCAGGGAGUCUUCACCCGACAGCCGAGUUUCACUGAGUGCUGCGAUGUCGACAUUGUACCUCUUGAGCUCAUGUGCAAUGAGCGCUGUCCGUCUGAGGUCUCUCCGUCCCAUCCUGCGUGUCGAGGAGGGUGCGGAUAUUCCAGGUAGCCAGGUGUAUAGUCAUAUGCUUUCCUUUAUGUUUUCGACCACAGUAGGGGAUGCCUUGGUGGCUGCGGUUUGCCACCCAAGUGUGAGGAACAAACAAUUUUUGGGUCACCUUUUCCAGACCCUUCCCAAAUUUGGGGUGAGCAGUGCGGACCCUAAAUAGGGCUGCUCAGUCACAUGGGCAGCUGCCAAAGGAAGAUCAUGUUCCUGAUCCCAAUCUUCACAACGACAUCACACCCAUGCUGCCUCUGUGCAGGACUCAAGCUAGGAGCUUCCAGUCACAUCCUUGACCUGCCCCCGUCACUUUAUCCUGUCGCCAGAGGAGUUUUCAGAAGAAGCUAAAGCCUGCGCAAAGAGUGGGUUUGUGUGAGGGAUGGUGCGCGCAGUUCCUUCCCCCACAAUCUUGGCUGCACCCACCAUAUUCCAGUGGCACGAGAGAAACUUGAGACGACCUUCAGAUGGGUGCAGUUGCAGGGGACUGCCAGAGAUCCAGUCAGCCAGAAAUCCGGUCUGCUGGAAACCUGCCCACGUGUGUGUCCCCGGAGCACAGAUUUUUCAUUUGGGGUUUACUUGCGUAACCAUGCUGCCUCCUGUUUUAACCCAUAUGGCUGUGGAGUGCCUUCUUUCGCCUUUGCAGCCAUUGUGGUGGUUCUCACACCCACCGUCUUCCGCCUGCUCUGCCGUUGAGGUCUGGCGGUGGUGUUAGCACUCGCGUUAGCACUAGGGUCUAUUGGACUCCGCCUAUGCCUGUCCCCAGGUGCAGGUUUGGGAUCACUCUUAGUCUGGUCUCUACCCUUCGCACUGUUUGGCUUGGGUGACCCUGAGUGCGAGACUCCAGCCGACAUAGCUCUAGGGGUCAUGGAGACGCGCAAAGUGCCUCACCACGAUAAGGUGGUGAUCCCGUUGAGGCACACCUGCUGAUUAGGGCGUGUGCAUAGACGCCGUACACCGGUCAGACGUUGCCAUUUUGUCUGGUUUGACACGCGCAUGCCUGCCACCUGAUUCCCAUUUGCCUGAUCCGCUGUGUAGCUGUACACCUGGCUGGUUGUCUGCCUUAACACUUGCACGCCUUCCACCUGAUUCCCCGUUUGCCUGAUCCGCUGUGUAAUGAGAUGCCUCCACGUAUGAUGCGAGCUCGCUGACAGGCUCAUCAGUCGCCUCGUGUACCUGCUCUGCUGGCAUUCCAGCCUCCCUUUUCCCCUUUUUCUCUUUUUGCAUUCCCUAAACAAACAGUCCGUGUUGCACAUGGUUAUCCUGCCUCCACUCUGCACCCGCUCUGCUGGCGUUCUAGCCUCCCUUUUCCCCUUUUCCUCUAUCGCAUUGUUGCACAUGGUAGUCCUGCCUCGUUCGUGACAGGCUGGCCGCCGCACUUCCCGCACUUGUCCGCAGUGACGCACAUUGCUCAGAGGCACGCCCUUCGGUAUCAGCGUGUAUUCGAACAGUGCUUAUAAAACCACGAAGUAGCGCAUUCGCGAAAGGUGAAUCGUGAAUUGAUAAGGGAUCACUGUACAUCCUGCAGGACCGCAUCAGGCAGCAGCAUUACCUUAUAGCCUCUGUAAAGCUCAUAACUAACAGCUUAGGGGUCUGUCGACAUCUUUCUGCCCCCAUCUGUUUUAGGAUGAAUGCAGACAGAGCUUUACUGUUCAACGUUAUCAUGUUCCAUAAGAAAGGAGGAAGCAAGUAACCUACGAGUGAGCUUAAUAGUAUACAGGUGGAACAUGUGCUAUGCUAGAAUGUUUUUGUUUUUUCCACAAGACCUGAUUUUGUUUUGUUUAAUACAGAUUAUCUCAAAAUGGGACCCAACAAAUACUUAAUUGCUGGUAGAGUACUAGUUAUUGUGGGGGAAAAAAAAGAAAAUAAUGUGGUCAAUAGAUCAGUUUUUAUAUCAUGUUCAAUAACUUGAAAUUCAAAUUUCAGGGGAGGUUUAUGACACCAUUGUAUAGAGCAGACUUUUGGAAAGCUUAGGAAGACUGUGUAUCAUUGAUGCCCACUGCCACCUUACAAAGAUUGCAGUAAUGUCAUAGGUGAAAAUCUGCAAUGACGUGUUUAGGUCUGUGGCUUGUGUGUUAUGUUAAAAAAGGUCUUCUUGAGCUGA